This 253-nucleotide ribosomal RNA is filed under the name uncultured bacterium. Its description in RNAcentral is "partial 16S ribosomal RNA". It matches the Rfam family "Bacterial small subunit ribosomal RNA", at positions 524 to 776 of the family's 1533-position model. The record is from RNAcentral.
GACGAACCGUGCGAACGUUGUUCGGAAUCACUGGGCUUAAAGGGCGCGUAGGCGGGCUGACAAGUCUGGGGUGAAAUGCCGCGGCUCAACCGUGGAACUGCUCGGUAUACUGCGGAUCUUGAGCCACCUAGGGGCAACCGGAACAAAUGGUGGAGCGGUGAAAUGCGUAGAUAUCAUUUGGAACGCCAAUGGUGAAAACAGGUUGCUGGGGGUGUGCUGACGCUGAGACACGAAAGCCAGGGGAGCGAACGGG